This is a long non-coding RNA of Aedes aegypti (yellow fever mosquito), 1010 nucleotides long. RefSeq lists it as uncharacterized. The transcript is spliced from 2 exons. Lineage: Eukaryota; Metazoa; Arthropoda; Insecta; Diptera; Culicidae. The record is from RefSeq and is a predicted model, not a curated record.
AUGUAACCGCUUAUUUGAUAUACAAUAUAGCAUCUUUUUGAUGUUAUAUUACAUCGCCUUGAAAUUACACAGAAUCAACAUUUCCAUUUUUCAUCACAUUGAAGUUGUGUAAUAAUCAGAUCUAAACUAAUCCAAUAUUACACAGAAACAGCUGCAACCAAGUCGUUCCAACUUAGUUGAGUGAUAUUACACAGUUUCGAUGUCAUUUUGCAUUCAACACCAAUGCAAUGAUACAUCUCGCAACACUGCCCCCAACCAAAACAGGCUCGGUGAUUCAAGAUGGCCGGAGUGGCAGCAAUCCGUGAUCGCGUUUUUUUCGUUCGGAUUUAACGUCAGGAAAACUCCGGAAAUCUUAUUUGAAACUGUGAAAAAUAGUGUUUUUAUAAAUCUUACGAGUUGUUCGUAACCGAUGCAAUUGUAGUGUAGUGAAAUAAAAAUGUUGAAAAAAAUCCAAGCGGAACAAAUCCUCCCGCAAAUUUGCAAUGUUUGGAAGUGCCCGCAAAAAAAGAGUCCUACGGUCCUACCGAGCAGUGCUUGGGAUGAACAUCGUCGACCAGCGAUUCCUGAUGCCAAUGGUCGGAAUCCGGAAAGGAGAUCGCCGAAGCAAUCGUUCACAACAUGAGAAGUUCGUUCCCGGUGGUCUCCCUUUUGAUGUUGGAAAGAGGAUCCGGUUUUCCUCCGGAUUUGCAAAUAGAACCACAACUCCUGCAUCCACCAACCUACACGGCACGCAAACAAUGUACCAGGUCAUCCGCAAAGGAACUGCAACGGAGUGGAGCAUAAAACGCGGGAGAGCUCGAUUUAUUAUUGGAUCGGCGACUACGGUGAAACAAGUCGGUACGAAAAACAUGAUCGAGCUCUGUGAACUAUUCUACUGGUUGCGAAGGGAACCUUAACACAUCCGUGAUUGCCUUAAGAUUUGAGUUUCAUCCACUACAGUUUCUCAAAUUCAUCACCGGAAGCGUCCAAGCCAUUAUGUUCCAUAUUUUAAAUAAUUGUUUAGUGAAAAA